This is an RNA transcript of Piliocolobus tephrosceles (Ugandan red Colobus), 1905 nucleotides long. It is a transcript of the gene named HLA class I histocompatibility antigen, alpha chain G-like, with no coding region annotated. NCBI's taxonomy places the organism in Eukaryota, Metazoa, Chordata, Mammalia, Primates, Cercopithecidae. The transcript has 5 exons. The record is from RefSeq and is a predicted model, not a curated record.
UUCUCAGACAGCUCCUGGGCCAAGACUCAGGGAGACAUUGAGACAGAGCGCUUGGCACAAGAGGAGCUGGGUCAGGGCGAAGUCCCAGGGCCCUAGGCGUGGUUCUGAGUCUCAGGCCCCGAAGGUAGUGGAUGGGCUGGGGAGUCCCAGCGUUGGGGAUUCCUAAUCUCCGCAGAGUUUCUCUUCUCCCUCUCCCAACCUGCGACGGGUCCUUCUUCCUGGACACUCACUACGCGGACCCAGUUCUCACUUCCACUGAGUGUCGGGUUGCUAGAGAAGCCAAUCAGGGUCGCGCGGCCCCGGUUCUAAAGUCCACACGCACCCACGGGGACUCGGAGUCUUCCCAGACGCCGACGAUGGGGUCAUGGCACCCCGAACCCUCCUCCUGCUGCUCUCGGGGACCUUGGCCCUGACCGAGACCAAGGCGGGCUCCCACUCCUUGAGGUAUUUCAGCACCGCCCGUGUCCCGGCCCGGCCGCGGGGAGCCCCGCUUCAUCGCCGUGGGCUACGUGGACGACACGCAGUUCGUGCGGUUCCACAGCGACGCCUAGAGUCCGAGGAUGGAGCCGCGGGCGCGGUGGGUGGAGCAGGAGGGGCCUGGAGUAUUGGGAGCUGCAGACACUGGGCGCCAAGGCCCAGGCAUAGACUGGCUGAGUGAACCCGAGGACCCUGCUCCGAUACUACAACCAGAGCGAGGCCGGUGAGUGACCCCCGCCCGGGGCGCAUAUCACUUACUCCUGGCUUCAUGCCUCACGGACGGCCCUGGUCCCCCUGAGUCUCCGGGUCCAAGAUCAACCCCGAGGCUGCGGGACCUGCAGAGAUCCUCGACCCUGGAGAGCCCCAGGAGCCUUUACCCGGUUUCAUCUUCAGUUGAGGCCAAAAUCUCUGCAGGUUGCUAGGGGCUGGGCCGGGGCUGGGCCAGGGCUGGGUGGGCGGGGCUGACCGCGGGAACUGGGCCAGGGUCUCACAUCCCCCAGGUAAUGUUUGGCUGCGACGUGGGGCCUGAGGGGCGCCUCCUCCGCUGGUAUGAACAGUACGCCUACGCGGGAAGGAUUACAUCGUCCUAAAUGAGAACCUGCGCUCCUGGACCGCCGCGGACACUGCGGCUCAGAUCACCCUGAGCAAGUGGGAGGCGGCCAAUGUGGCUGAGCAAAGGAGAGCCUAUCUCGAGGGCAUCUGCGUGGAGUGGCUCCGCAGACACCUGGAGAACGGGAAGGAGACGCUGCAGCGCGCGGACCCCACCAAGACACACGUGACCCACCACCCUGUCUUUGACUAUGAGGCCACCCUGAGGUGCUGGGCCCUGGGCCUCUACCCUGUGGAGAUCAGACUGACCUGGCAGUCGGAUGGGGAGGACCAGACCCAGGACAUGGAGCUCAUGGAGACCAGGCCCGCAGGGGAUGGAACCUUCCAGAAGUGGGUGGCUGUGGUGGUGUCUGCUGGAGAGGAGCAGAGAUUCACGUGCCAUGUGCAGCAUGAGGGUCUGCCCAAGCCUCUCACCCUGAGAUGGGAGCUGUCUCUCCAGCCCACCAUCCCCAUCAUGGGUAUCGUUGCUGGCCUGGUUGUCCUUGCAGCUGUCAUCACUGGAGCUGUGGUCGCUGCUGUGCUAUGGAGGAAGAAGAGCUCAGUCACACAUUUCUGGAAACUUCUCGAGGGUCCAAGACUAGGAGGUUCCUCUAGGACCUCAUGGCCCUGCCACCUUUCUGGCCUCUCACAGGACAUUUUCUUCCAACAGAUAGAAAAGCAGGAAGCUACUCUCAGGCUGCAAGUAAGUAUGAAGGGGGCUGAUCCCUGAAAUCCUUGGGAUAUUGUGGUUGGGAGCCCAUGGGGGAGCUCACCCAGCCCACAGUUCCUCCUCUAGCCACAUCUCCUGUGGGCUCGGACCAGGUUCUGUUUUUGUUCUAC